This 1263-nucleotide long non-coding RNA is filed under the name Physcomitrium patens. RNAcentral's name for it is "long non-coding RNA (PPAT_LNC006774)". The record is from RNAcentral. Lineage: Eukaryota; Viridiplantae; Streptophyta; Bryopsida; Funariales; Funariaceae.
CAAACUUGAAAACCCUGACAGCUUAUUCUAAACCUCCUCCGCAUUUCAGAACUUUGUUUUCAAACUUGUCAAGCUUCAGUGACGAAUCUGCGUCACUACAGCUCAUAGUUACUGAUACAAAGGGUUCUAGAAUGAUGUUACGUGAGGUGUAGUGUGCGUGAUACAUAGUGGCUUAGUACGCCUUCGGAAUCUGCUUCUUCAUGUGAAUAACUUAUUUUCAGUGGUGGAUAUUAAUUAUACAUCUAGCGGAUGUGGACUGCUAUCACGCCAUAUUCUUCAUUCGGAUAUCAGACUGUUACAUGAAGGCCUCAUCAGCGCGUGAAAAGUUUUGGACAUGGCACAAUAGUGGUAUUUUAUGAGUAAAGGGAGUGACAUGCACAAUUUAAGGUUUUAGCUGACUUUGAUGUUGGUAUGGAACAGGGACGUGUAAGGACCAAAACCGUGAAGAAGGCCUCAAGGGUCAUGAUCGAGAGGUACUACUCUCGCAUGACCCUGGACUUCCAGACCAACAAGAAGAUUGCCGAGGAGGUGGCAAUCAUCCCGUCGAAGAGGCUCCGCAACAAGAUCGCCGGGUUCGCCACUCACCUGAUGAAGCGCAUCCAGAGAGGGCCAGUGCGCGGAAUCUCUCUGAAGCUGCAGGAGGAGGAGCGCGAGAGGCGCAUGGACUUCGUGCCGGAGGAGUCAGCGAUCAAGACUGACGUGAUCGAGGUGGAUAGGGAGACGAUCGAGCUGUUGGCUCACCUGAACAUGCCUCAGCUGCCGGGAGUGGUGCAGCAGGCAGCCCCUACCGCGGGAGGAGGGUUCUUCAAGCCCCAGGGGGGAGGAUACCAAGGCAACAGGAACAGGAAUUAGAUGAUAGCGAGAGGUUUGAUCAUGUAGCCAGGUUCUGUGCAUGCUGGGUGCGGCUCCUUUUUCGUUGUUUGAAGAAAUGUAGUUAAUCCCCCCCUACAUCAUUCAACUCGGCCCUGGGCAGAAAACUCCUAGCUUGGCUGCUUCACCGAAAUGACGCUGCAUGCUUGUUUAACCAGAUUCUGUUUACUAGAUUCACUCUCAUUGAAGCACUUGGCUGUACUUCUGAAACCUCUAACGCUGUAAUGCACAGAUGCUUACCACUCGCUGUGAGCUCCACGUGCACGAAUUCACAUAUUGUCCAGUCCCAUGUGUUUGUUUCAGGAAUGUUACCUUGGCAUUGUACUUAAUCCCUAAGAAAUGAAUUCUUCAAAAAGCGCUAAUCACAAAAGGUGAAGCAUGUGCUGUGAAGUC